RNAcentral lists this ribosomal RNA (98 nucleotides) under Nannospalax galili (Upper Galilee mountains blind mole rat). The record is from RNAcentral. Lineage: Eukaryota; Metazoa; Chordata; Mammalia; Rodentia; Spalacidae.
GUCUAUAGCCACACUACCCUGAACAUGCUUGAUUUUAUCUGAUCUUGGAAGCUAUGAAGGGUUGGACCUGGUUAGUACUUGGAUGAGAGAUAUAAACU